GACGAACGCUGGCGGCGUGCUUAACACAUGCAAGUCGAACGAUGAAGAAGAGAAACGCGGACUUCGGUUCAAAUUUCACUUCGGAUUAGUGGCAGACGGGUGAGUAACGCGUGAGCAACCUACCUCUUACAAAGGGAUAGCCUCGGGAAACCGUGAUUAAUACCAUAUGACACAUUCAUAAGGCAUCUUAAGAAUGUUAAAGCUACGGCGGUAAGAGAUGGGCUCGCGUCCCAUUAGCUAGUUGGUGAGGUAACGGCCCACCAAGGCGACGAUGGGUAACCGGCCUGAGAGGGUGAACGGUCACAUUGGAACUGAGACACGGUCCAAGCUCCUACGGGAGGCAGCAGUGGGGAAUAUUGCACAAUGGAGGGAACUCUGAUGCAGCGACGCCGCGUGAGCGAUGAAGGAAUUCGUUUCGUAAAGCUCUGUUCUAUGGGAAGAAAAGGACUGUACCAUAGGAGAAAGCCCCGGCUAAAUACGUG
Molecule: ribosomal RNA, 482 nt
Filed under: uncultured bacterium
Lineage: Bacteria
Description: partial 16S ribosomal RNA
Rfam family: Bacterial small subunit ribosomal RNA
Source: RNAcentral